Molecule: ribosomal RNA, 405 nt
Filed under: uncultured Staphylococcus sp.
Lineage: Bacteria; Bacillati; Bacillota; Bacilli; Caryophanales; Staphylococcaceae
Description: bacterial SSU rRNA
Rfam family: Bacterial small subunit ribosomal RNA
Source: RNAcentral
CGUUAGCGGCGGACGGGUGAGUAACACGUGGAUAACCUACCUAUAGGACUGGGAUAACGUUCGGGAAACCGGAGCUAAUACCGGAUAAUAUAUUGAACCGCAUGGUUCAAUAGUGAAAGACGGUUUUGCUGUCACUUAUAGAUGGAUCCGCGCCGCAUUAGCUAGUUGGUAAGGUAACGGCUUACCAAGGCAACGAUGCGUAGCCGACCUGAGAGGGUGAUCGGCCACACUGGAACUGAGACACGGUCCAGACUCCUACGGGAGGCAGCAGUAGGGAAUCUUCCGCAAUGGGCGAAAGCCUGACGGAGCAACGCCGCGUGAGUUAUGAAGGUCUUCGGAUCGUAAAACUCUGUUAUUAGGGAAGAACAAAUGUGUAAGUAACUAUGCACGUCUUGACGGUACCUA